AUGAGGCUGUGGCGUCCGCCGGCUGAGACUGAUCCCUUCAUGGAGACAGAGAAGGAAAAGACUGGGGAGCACCCCAGGAAGGACAGGAAGAGGAGGCAGGUUCCCAACCAGCUGGUCCGGGCGACAGAGCCGAGGAGAGCCUGUCCGGCUCUGGAGGACACGCAGCCCCAGGCCAAGAAAGCUCGCUUAUCUGCCAAUUGUGAGGUAACCCCUGGCCAACUGUGUGAAUUGCUGAAGUAUGCAGUUCUGGGCAAAUCCAUUGUGUCUAGACCCAGUUGGUGCCAAAUUUUUCAACAAAACCACCUGAACAAUGUGGUGGUUUUUAUUCUUCAAGGGAUAAGUCAGUUGCAUUUCUACAUGUUCUAUUUGGAGUUCAAAUUUCUGCGGAAGACAUUCAGACAUGUAAGUUAAGAAAACUAUAUUAGGGUCCUAUCCUGAGAUUAAUACAUGUAUCUGAGAGUAUGCUCCAUGGCAACCUAGCUGAACAAGUGACAGAGGAUAUAGAAAACACAAGAAAUAGAGUCAGCUCAAGCUGAAAUUAGAUUUGUCUUUAGUAAUCUAGGCAAAACACUUAUUUCCAAAUAUCUAGCUCCUGGGUUGAUAUUGCCCUGUUUUAUUUAAAGUGUGGUAUUUUUAGACAUUGUAAAAUUUCCAUAAAAUCUGUGUUUUUCUACCUCUUUUUAAAAAAUCAUAAGAUUGGACAUUCUUAGAACUUAUCUGGAGCUGAACAUCACUUGUAAUCUUGAGAAGAGGCAUGUCAUCUCCAUGUUCCCAUAGCCUCCUCCAUUCCCUAGUGCUGUUUUAUCCAUUUACUGUUAAAGGAAUUUGACAUAUUGGGCCCUAAUUUAAUUUCCCUUAGUCUUCAUUUUCUUUACUGCUUCCAUUUAUUGAACACCUUCUAUAUGCCAUUCACAAUAUUAAUUGUGCUGUGUACAUCACCUUAUCAAUGAGAGAUGAUUUUUUUUUUUGAGACAGGUUCUCACUAUGUAGACCCCUGUGGUCUCGAACUCACAGAAAUCCUCCUGCCUCAGGCUCCUGAGUGCUGGGAUUACAGGUGUGCGCCAAGGAGAGAUGAUUUUUAAAUCCCAUUUCAUGCAUAAGAAACUUAAAUUAUAGCUAGUCAAUGCUGGAGUUAGAAAUUAAGCCUAGGUGAGUAUGAGGCUGGAGCUCUCAAGCUCUUUUACCUGGUAUAUCUUCUGUCCUGAUUACUUGGCAUGCUGUACAAUGAAACAGUAGAUAUAAAAUGAUCUGAAAAAUAUAAUUUUCUAUAAUAUUUAUCCAUUUUACAAGACAUAAUGAGAGACAGUUAUUUUAUAAUGCAGACAGCUAAAGUGUAGACCUUUGAUAAUAAGUCCAGACUUUUCAGUACUUUGUUUUCAAGCAUUUUUGAAUGAAUCUAUUAAUAUAUUUUCAGAAAUUCUACUUGGGUCCUCCAUCAUCUAAUUUUCUAGCUGAUAUCAUUGGUCUGCAAAAGAAAACAACUGGAGAUCUGUCCAAGACCAGUAAAGGUAAGACUGUGACUGGUUUGAUCCUUUGCCCAUUGACUUUAUAGACAUGACUGGUUGAUGCUUUGCCCAUUUUUUUUUUCACUUUCAAAAAUUUAUUUGAAAAAGUAAAAGUGAAGAGUGAGGGAGAGAAAGCAGGGUGGGCUAUUGUGAGGAAACUACCAUAGCAAGCUCUUCUUGGUGUCUGUGUUCUUUUAUACUGUGCAAAUUUCAAGGAAACCCAUGAGAACUUCUGUGUAUGGAUCCUGAGAGGGAGUGAUGGAAUCCCAUGCCUCAGAUUAUUGUCAGGUUAGGCCGUCUCAUUGAAAACCUGCUCCAAUUCUCACGAGAAGUCCACUGCCCAUUGAUUUUUGUAGAUAAGGUCAUUAUCAGGUAUAUGAGUCAAGUUUAUUUAUUGUAAGCAACAAAAUUCAGUUCUGACUAACAUAAGCAGAAAAGCAAUUUUUUAAAAGGAAGAAUUAAUUGGCAGGUUCCCAGAAUAGUUAGCAGGAACCAUAGGCAGAGUUCAUGUCUCAGAAACCAUGUGGUAGCUAGGUGUAGUGUUGUACAUCUAUAAUUUCAGCAUUUUUUGCAAUCCAGUCUUUUGUCUCAGCAGCAUCUUUUAAUUUCCCACUUUUCCAUUAUUCCCCUCUCCUUCCAAUAGAUGCCUGUAUUUGACCUGUAGCUGUGUUUGGUUUGAUGUGUACUAUGUUUGUCUUUUUAUUUUACCUUUGAGUAAUAACAGUAUCUUUGAGUAAAUAAAAUAAUUAUUUUAGGUUCAAGUGAAGGUCUUGAGCUGUGAAAGACAAGGAAAAAGCAAUUUGACAUGACUGAAGAAUAUAUCUUGUUGGGGAUGCUGAGGGGACCAGGAGGAAGUGGUGGUGAGAAUUGAGGCUGGAGAGGCAAAUGAAGAGUACACACUACAGGCUUUGAAUGUAGAGCACAAAGACUGAAUUUUAUUCUGUAGGCAUUUAGGAGCCAGAGAGGC
This 2472-nucleotide long non-coding RNA is filed under the name Fukomys damarensis (Damara mole-rat). RNAcentral's name for it is "lncRNA (ENSFDAG00000021756.1)". Lineage: Eukaryota; Metazoa; Chordata; Mammalia; Rodentia; Bathyergidae. The record is from RNAcentral.